Molecule: long non-coding RNA, 613 nt
Organism: Capsicum annuum
Lineage: Eukaryota; Viridiplantae; Streptophyta; Magnoliopsida; Solanales; Solanaceae
Exons: 2
Source: RefSeq, a predicted model, not a curated record
GUUGUCUGUUUUCUUUCCGUUAUCCCUUUCUUGUGGUGCUCCAUAGAUGAACUUGAGUUCAACAUCUUUUUAUUUUCAGCCAUGUACCAUAGACAUUACAAUUGAUUGGAAACGUGAUACUUCUAUUGCUAGUUCUGCUUCAUCCUUUGAGUCACCUAGGCUAUGCAGGACCUUUAUUUAAAGGAGAGAAGUUACUUCUUCUAUAUGGGUGUGUUUGGACUUGGUAACGAGGGAAAUACUGGACAAUGGCCCAAGUAAUGAUGGACUCUAUUCGAUUCCUGUGAUGAAAUUAUGCUCACCAGCUUCCUUUGCAGCUUCUCUUGGUGUUUGGCAUGCUCAUCUGGUGUAUGCAUCCAAUCCAAUAAAGUUUGUCAAACAUUACUAGUUGUUCUUUUAACUUCUAGUAAAUCAUCUAGUUUAUGCACCACGUGUGCAAGUUAGCAAGAGUCAUAAAGUCCCCUUUAGUACGUCUAGAUUUAAGGCCUCUGGCCCUCUUGAUUUAGUUUGUUCUGAUAUUUGGGGCCCUCCUCCUAUUGUUUCUAAUGAUGGUUAUCGUUAUUAUCUCAUCUUUUUUAUUAUUUUAGUAAAUAAACUUGGAUCUACUUUCUUUAAG